CUCAGGUAUUUCUUCAUAGCAGCAUGAGAAUGGACUAACACAGGUGUUGAUCUGUAAGGUAAUAUUAUUGGAGUCAUGACAUCCAAAGUAUCUUUAAACUCUUAAACAAUAUUUGUUCAUUUCACAUUUUUAUAUCUUCCUGGCACUAUGCAGGGCAAACAAUUGUAGCAUACAAAGUGAAUUAUAGAAAACCUUACAUAUGGGUCUUGAGGAAUUCUUGCACUUUUUCUCCCACUUUAUGACACACUUCCAUGUGCCAUUAUAUCUAAAAAAAAUAAAAUAAAAUCAACUCCAAAAGCAGAGAGCAAAGUCAUAACCCAUCUCAGCAAAGGUUUAUUAAAUUUCAUUCAUCCCAGAAGCUGCUCUGCCAACAUUUUUCAUCUUUUUCCUUUCUUCCUUUCCAAUUUUAUGAUUUUUUUCUUUUCCACCUAAGGAAACCUUCUAGCGUCUCUUUGCCUACACUAAGCUUUUUUAUAUCUACAGCUCUUCCCAUUACCAUUAAAAGGCAAGAGGAAGAGAAGAGGAUCUUUGUAUACUUGUCUCUAUCGUACAGUAUAUGAAUGUAUGCCAGGUGUGGUGGCACAUGCCUGUAUUCCCAACUACUCAGGAGGCUAAGGGAGGAAGGUUGGCUUGAGCCCAAGAGUUCUGGGCUGUAGUGUGCUAUGUCCACUGGGUGUCUGCACUAAGUUCAGCAUCAAUAUGGUGACCUUCUGGGAGUGGGGAACCACCAGGUAGCCUAAGGAGGGUUGAACCUGCCCAGGUUAAAAUAGAACAGAUAAGAAUUCUGUGCUGAUAAGUAGUGAGAUCCAACCUGUAAAUAGCCACCACACUCCAGCCUGGGCAACAUAGUGAGACCUUGUCUCUAGAAAAAUAAAAUAAAAUAAACCUUUUUAAAAAAUGAAUCUAAAUUCACAUGUAACGAUACCUUUCUUGGAGAUUGUUUUACUUGAGAGCUGGCAACAUAAGUUCUUGACUUUUCAACACAGAGUUCCUCUAGUUUCUUUUACAGUAUUUUAGAUCACUGCUUUUCAAAUGUUAAUGUACACUGGAAUCUCCUACAGAUUCUGAUAAAAUGCAGAUUUUGAUUCAGUAAUUCUGGAGUAGGCCUAAGAUUCUGUGUUCCUCAAAGACUCUCGGAUGAUGGCCAAUGCCACGGGUUCUUAGACCUCACUUUGAAUGGCAAGAUUUAUAUUAUUCAUUUUUUUCUAACUGCCCGCAAAACACUUCAGUGCAGUUGUUAAAAUUAUUUUUGUUGUUGCAACUCUCAUGUUACAUACAGGAAGCUUCAGGAACCCUGCUUGGCUGAUGAUCUCAGCUCCUCUUAGCUUUGGAGAUGGGGUUGGAGUUAUCCAGCCAGUGCAUGCUCUGUUGGAGACAGUGCCACAUGAGGCCCUUUCUAAGACAGACAGGGGCACGGUGACAGGGAGACACUAGUGGGAACAUUUCUAUAUGGGUCUUUAAUGAAUCAAGAAUCUGGUUACUGUUUAAAAGAGUGUCUUGAAUGGAUUUGUCAGAAGAGCCAAGGAGCCUCUGUUUGGAACCGUUCUCAAAUGGCAUGAUUGUAGUAUAAGGCAGGGAGCGUAUGAAUGGCUUCUUUUCAGGAGAAGAAAAAGAGCAAGGGGAUUGAAGUAAUGGGGAGCCUCUGGGCUCAUCUUUCAGCUGAGUCUGCCCAGCUCUCAUUAGCGUACCCUCCUUAUAGGUAUGAACUGAAAAGGGAAGUUGGAGGGUUGUGUCUAUGGAAGGGACUAGGGGACCUGGGGAACUGAGGACCAGGAAUUACAGUCUCAUAUUCAGUAAAGGACUCAAAAGUCAGUGAUCCAAGUAAUGACCAGAGAAUAUUAGAAAAGGAAAAACAGCCAGCUGCAUUCUUAGAUGUUAUUAGAAAUCAAGGCAUGUAUAGCUGAGGGGUGCUCAGAGACUCUCUGGUUCUGACCCUGUGUUUGCAGAUAAAGAAACUAACAUUCAGGAAGUUGGAUGACUUGCUCAAGGUCAUAAGAUUGGGUAGGGCUUUUAGCUGGCUUUUGAACUCGUGGUUCCGAGCUCUUUGCAGUUGAACAUAUUUGUUGUUUCUCGCAUCAAUUAACUCUAACACAUUUAAUUAGAUAUAAAAACUGUUCCCAUGGAUUAAAUUCUGUUUUUGAAAUUGUGCGGGCAGUGCCCUGGAAAAAAAAAAUCAGCAAUAAAGGCCAUAGCUAUGUCCCCAGAGCUCAGCUGUGGCACUUGUGGGCAGCUACAUAGUUUGAAGUUUGAACAAAAGUUUUCUGAAAAGGAAUUUGGAGGAAAGACACUUUCUUACAGUGAACAGUUUGCAAACUGGGGAGACACUGUCUUCCUGUAUAAGGAAGGUGUGCAUUUCAGAGAACAAAGAGAGGGUUUGGCUUUUGUAGGUUCUAAAUCAGGUCUGUUUAUGCAAAUAAAUGAUUCAAACUUGCUUAGUUCUGAUUGAUCAAUGCAGCUGAGUUUUGAUUGGUUGACACAGCUAGGCCCUGAUUGGCCAAGGUGGGGGAGCUCUGAUUGGUUGGUUCAGGCAAGCUCUGAAAGUCCACAGUUAAACAUAGGUGUAGGUUUCCCCAGAACUCAGAGUACAUCUGUGACCUCUAGCCAGCAAAGGGCCGCUUGGCUCUGUUAUAAACGUAGGCCCAGUUAGCAGCUCAGGAUCUAUCUUGAAGGAUUGGCUCUUUCAGGUGCACAUUUGUUCACAAAAGCAUGGUUGGCUUCUUCACACAAGGACAGGUUUCUUCACAGAGAAUCAGUUACACACUCCUGAGCAUAUUUAACUCCCACAGCCCAUUAAGUAGAUGAUAAUAUUCUUAUUUUACAAAUAAGGAAACUGAGACUCGGAAUAAAUAAAUUGUUGCAGUUCACGCAUUUGCACCGAGAUUCAGCCCCAGGCCUGCCUUCUCCCACUCCUGUGCCCCUUCCACCCACUGCCUGGCCCCCACCCUGCUGUUUCCUGCUGGGUGUGCCGGGAGCACUGACCUGGGGCUCUGGGGACAGGACUCGGUUUUAUAAAGUGCUGGGAGAAGUAGGAGAAUUCAGAGGGAAAUGGGAUCUGAUGCUUGGAUUAUGGGAGAAGCAAGAUAAAAGGAUGCUAAAGGCAGGAGAAGCAAUGGGAGAAUGUCUGCCUGGUGUCCCGUGGUCCCUGUGCAGCUGCUCCUCUCUAUUGUUUCUGUGAAGGGAUCAUGCAAGGUACUUUCCAGCCACUGUUUUAGACUUUUGUUUUUGAUGAGCUGGAACAGCAGCAGGUAGGUAGGUGGUGGGGGCCCUCUUUUUCACUUUUCUUUCUCUCUUUCCUUGUCGUGAGCUCAGGGGCCAUAAGCCACCCGUUCAACAGCCAAAGGAUGAAGCAGAUCUUGGCAAUGUUACCAUUUCUGUAACUACUGGAGGCUUGCUGCCCUUUGACAGACUGGAGUGGAGCGCUUCAGGGGAAAAGCAGUACCCACCAACACCGUGGCAUCUCUGCUCAACGCUGACCAUCACGUUGAAUUUCUGUUUAUGUCUGUAGUAAGAUAAUCAGCUGGAAAGCAGAUUGCUAUUGAGAGGGUUUUCUGGUUUUCUUAGUAGGUCAAAAACCAAAUUAGAUGACCCACAUCAUAGGCCCGGAUCAGUUUAGAAAAAUCCCUCCAGUCCUUCAGUGGCAUCCUUAGCAGGAGGUUCUGACUUGGAGGAAAUGGACAGCCUGCAUUUUCUGGAACUGAGAGGUUGCAGGAGGAAGGGAAAGAGAGGGAGAUCAAGGAUGACAAAAUCUGGGAUUUCAGUUUAUCCCUUCUCUGAGGACAGAAACAGCUCUCAAGCAGGAAGAGAGAGGCUUUAGAAAUACCCAGAUCAGUGAGCCUGGGAACCUUGAUUGUCCACUUUUCUGGGCAGAGGAAGGGGAAGUUUCUGGUCCCAGAGAAUUCCAGCUCAGCACCACACCCAAAACAGUGCAAGUGGAUGACAGUUAAACCCAAGGCGGGGCUGUAGGGUGCAGGGGCCUGCAUGUCGCACCCUGGAGUCCUGACAGUUUCCCCGAGCCACAUGAAGGGCACACAGCCAUACUGAGAUGCCUUGGCACACAGAGAUCUCAGACGGCUUCAAACAAGCCUUAGUGUGAAUCAGUCAUCAAAACCAGAAAACACUUUCCGGGUCCUCAGACUCCACCGUGGUCUGCAGUGCAUCACCCCAAAAGGCCAGAGGAGGCCAGUCACACCUCAGAGGGCAACAGUGCAGGAAGCGGCCCAACCCAGCCGCUUUGUUGCACAGACUGGCAUGUCAAUACAGGAUACAAACUGGGCCUCACUGUCUGCUCUGCCAUGAGUUUUCCUAAGCCACACCUCUCCUCUCUAACUAGGGUGAACAAACAUCACCUGCUCUACUGGCAUAAUUAUUAAUAGUGCCCUCUUUCUCUCUCAAACACAUCUCGGAUUGAUCUGACCUGAGUGGUUAAAAAAUAAAUAUUAUAGAAUAAGAUGCAUGCUGUAAUUCCAAGUAAUAAUGAGAAAAAGCUCACCUAUGUGUGCAAGGUUCCUCUAUGCAGGGAGCAUAUUUGGAAGGACACUGCUAACCACGGUUACCUGAGGAUGGUUUGGGGACACGGACAGCACUGCAUUAUUUUUACACGCAUUGCAUUCUAAACCAGGCACUUGUUUCUAAAAAUGAAAAAAAAGUGCCCGUCUUGGAAGAUGAUUUGUGAUGGUCACUCUAUCCAGAGCACAGGCCUCACCUUGCCAUGGAGCCGGAGAGGGCAAUCAAAUCCGAACAUCUGCACGUCUCUGCUAAGGGGCUGAGUGUUUGUUUUAAGCUGGAGUAGUUUCUAUCAUUGCAAACAGACUAAGUUUACCAGCUCAUGCUAAACACAGUUCAGUUUGUUUUUCCUGUUACCCCAGUGGGCACAGGUUCAUGAGGAAAAUUAGAACAGAUGCAGAGUCAACAUCUGUGCCCAUCUGGGGGCAGUGUGAGUGGUUUUGUGAACAUGCUGUAGUUGAAUUCUGACUUUUGAGAGGUUGAUUACUCAUUUCUUUCAGUAGACAGAAAUCAUAGUAUUUGUUUGCUGGAGCAUGAGCUGCUUUAUUUCUAUUUUCAGAGUUUCACUUUGGGUCCACAGUGGGGCCUAUAACCAAUGCUGGAGGUUCUCAGCCAAAGAGAGUGCAGCGGCGCAUGGCUGUCCUGCAGAUGGUGACAGGUGGGGACUCUGCCCCUUCACUCUUGGAGGUCAGGCAGGGCUAAAUGGCUGCAGUCCCCUAAGCAGUCAGUCCUUUUUUUAAAAAGUAAGAACAAUGGCCUGUAUUUGUUAAACUUUUUUUUUUUUUUUUUUUGGUAACACAAGAAAGGAUCAUUGUGAUGCUGAGCCUCCAGUGCCACCAGACUCAGGGUUCCGGGUAGGCAGGGUCACAGCUGGGCACCCCGUUGUGCUGCUCCAGGACUGGCCCCGUGUCCUGGCCUUGGGGUUGAGUCUCGGGGUUGGCUGCAUGCGUUGGUGUGAUUUCAGGGCAUACACACGGAACGUGCUGCCCAGGUGCUGGGCCCAGGGAAGCCACGUGUCUCAGCCCUGAAGAGUUGUCCUGGCGUUGUGCACAACCUGGCUGGUGGCUUGGAGAGCAAACAGUACCCCCGACCCCACGGGUGUCUGCGGGCACUAGGCCCCACGUGCGGGUUCUCUGGAGUCUCCCAAGCUGAGCAUCACCGGACCCAGACCCGUCACAGCCAUGCUGAGCUUACCCGUCUGCAAGUCUGCUGGAACCUGGAACACAGCAGCCCUCCUGCCCAGCCACCCCAUUCCUGAGCUUCCUCUCCAUGCAAGAGUCCACUUGUAAAACAAACAACGGGCUGGGAGUUGUGUCUCCCCUUCACCACCAGUGCUUCUGUGUACAGCUCAUCCACUUCCUCAUCCGUAAACUGAUCCCCCACGGUUGUCAGCAGCUCUCUCAG
RNAcentral lists this long non-coding RNA (5907 nucleotides) under Homo sapiens (human). RNAcentral describes it as "HSALNT0081854". The stretch from base 567 to 865 matches the Rfam family "Metazoan signal recognition particle RNA". The record is from RNAcentral. Lineage: Eukaryota; Metazoa; Chordata; Mammalia; Primates; Hominidae.